CUUUAGUGGUAUCUUAAUCGGUCUGCAAAGGAGCUUUAUACAUAUAAUGCCGUAACGUUUUGGACAUGAUGAAAGAGUUCAUUUCAGUAUUGUUGAGAAGCGGUAAUGAAAUUGCUUUGAAGGAGUUGGAUAAUUGCGAUGCUAUAUCAAAGUCCCAUUCUUUCUGGUGGUUCAAAUUAGGAGUGGUUGGAUGCUGCAAACGCUCUCCAGAAGCAAAUGUGGGAGGAUGCACCACUAGAUAAGAGGCGGAUGAAAGAAGAGUACUUAAUAAGGACUCAAAGUUUGUCUUUUAUGAGAACCAAGACUGAGCUAAAUAUAAUAAGUUCUGCAGUGGAUGGCAGUCGCAAUCCAUUUGGCGAUAGCAAAAACAAUGAGUAGCAGGUUAAUUAUUUUUUAUGUU
Molecule: long non-coding RNA, 400 nt
Organism: Papaver somniferum (opium poppy)
Lineage: Eukaryota; Viridiplantae; Streptophyta; Magnoliopsida; Ranunculales; Papaveraceae
Exons: 3
Source: RefSeq, a predicted model, not a curated record